ACGGCUCAGUAACACGUGGAUAACCUGCCCUGCGGUGGGAAAUAACCCCGGGAAACUGGGGAUAAUGUCCCAUAGGCUACGGAUGCUGGAAUGCUCUGUAGCUCAAAGAUUUAUCGCCACAGGAUGGGUCUGCGGCCGAUUAGGUAGUUGUUGGGGUAACGGCCCAACAAGCCUUUGAUCGGUACGGGUUGUGGGAGCAAGAGCCCGGAGAUGGAUUCUGAGACACGAAUCCAGGCCCUACGGGGCGCAGCAGGCGCGAAAACUUUACAAUGCGGGAAACCGUGAUAAGGGAACUCCGAGUGUCCGUCAAUGCGGACUGUCCGUAUGUUUAAAAAGCAUGCGAAGAAAGGGCCGGGCAAGACCGGUGCCAGCCGCCGCGGUAAUACCGGCGGCUCGAGUGGUGGCCACUAUUACUGGGCUUAAAGCGUUCGCAGCUGGGUUGUUAAGUCUCUUGGGAAAUCUAUCGGCUUAACCGAUAGGCGUCCAAGGGAUACUGGCAAUCUAGGGACCGGGAGAGGUGAGGGGUACUUCAGGGGUAGGAGUGAAAUCCUGUAAUCCUUGGGGGACCACCUGUGGCGUAGGCGCCUCACCAGAACGGCUCCGACAGUGAGGGACGAAAAGCUGGGGGAGCAAACCGGAUUAGAUACCCGGGUAGUCCAGCCGUAAACGAUGCGCGUUAGGUGUAUCGAUGACCACGAGUCAUCGAGGUGCCGAAGGGAAACCGUGAAACGCGCCGCCUGGGAAGUACGGUCGCAAGGCUGAAACUUAAAGGAAUUGGCGGGGGAGCAC
This 789-nucleotide ribosomal RNA is filed under the name uncultured archaeon. Its description in RNAcentral is "bacterial SSU rRNA". It matches the Rfam family "Archaeal small subunit ribosomal RNA", at positions 85 to 879 of the family's 1478-position model. The record is from RNAcentral.